RNAcentral lists this small RNA (837 nucleotides) under uncultured Rubrobacteraceae bacterium. RNAcentral describes it as "bacterial SSU rRNA". The stretch from base 1 to 471 matches the Rfam family "Bacterial small subunit ribosomal RNA", at positions 1064 to 1533 of the family's 1533-position model. Lineage: Bacteria; Bacillati; Actinomycetota; Rubrobacteria; Rubrobacterales; Rubrobacteraceae. The record is from RNAcentral.
GUCGUGAGAUGUUGGGUUAAGUCCCGCAACGAGCGCAACCCCCGUUCCAUGUUGCCAGCAUUAAGUUGGGGACUCAUGGGAGACUGCCGGUGACAAACCGGAGGAAGGUGGGGAUGACGUCAAGUCAUCAUGCCCCUUAUGUCCAGGGCUACACACGUGCUACAUUGGCCGAUACAGAGGGUUGCGAUGCCGUGAGGUGGAGCGAAUCCCAAAAAGUCGGUCUCGGUUCGGAUUGGAGGCUGAAACUCGCCUCCAUGAAGGUGGAGUUGCUAGUAAUCGCGGAUCAGCAACGCCGCGGUGAAUACGUUCCCGGGCCUUGUACACACCGCCCGUCACACCACGAAAGCGGGCAACACCCGAAGCCGGUCGCCUAACCCUUACGGGAAGGAGCCGUCGAAGGUGGGGCUCGUGAUUGGGGUGAAGUCGUAACAAGGUAGCCGUAGCGGAAGCUGCGGCUGGAUCACCUCCUUUCUAGGGAGACCUAGAACGUCGACCGGGCUUGACCCACGACGCCUCGUGCGUCGCGGCGGCGCUGCUCAGUUCUCAGAGGCAGCCGGCGGGAUACCCCCGUGCGGUCGCCUCCGUGGACCUUGAAAACUGCACUAGGUAGAGCUGCCCCCGCAAGGGGGACGCUCUGGAGCGCUCCAUUGAUGAGCCGGAGCGCUCCUAAAGGUAAGAAGCCGAGCUCGGGCGCUUUGUUAUGUACGCGCUCGAGCAGCUCACCGUCAAGAUAGUAAGGGCACACGGUGGAUGCCUUGGCACCAGGAGACGAAGAAGGACGUGGACGGCUGCGAUAAGCCACGGUUAGGCGCUGAACAGCCAUUGACCCGUGGAUUU